Molecule: ribosomal RNA, 253 nt
Filed under: uncultured bacterium
Lineage: Bacteria
Description: partial 16S ribosomal RNA
Rfam family: Bacterial small subunit ribosomal RNA
Source: RNAcentral
UACAGAGGUGGCAAGCGUUGUUCGGAUUCACUGGGCGUAAAGGGUGCGUAGGCGGUCGGGUAAGUCUGAUGUGAAAUCUCACAGCUUAACUGUGAAACUGCAUUGGAUACUAUUCGGCUUGAGAGUUGGAGGGGGGACUGGAAUUCUUGAUGUAGCAGUGAAAUGCGUAGAUAUCAAGAGGAACACCAGUGGCGAAGGCGAGUCCCUGGACAACUACUGACGCUGAGGCAUGAAAGCUAGGGGAGCAAACAGG